AAGGGAAAGGCAGAAGGCCCUGUUCAGAGGAAGGAAAUUUACUUCAGAGCAGGUACAUUUUUAAAAGCAAGGAAAUACAAGAAACUGAAAUGGUUAUGGUUGGAAGGAAAAGCUAUUACAAAAAUGUGAAUGGUUUAUAAGAGAAAGAAAGGAAGAACCCUGUGGUUCUUAAAAAAAAAAGAAAGAAAAAACCCCCCCGCUAUUCAAAAAAACCAAACCCCCACCCACUCACCAUGACCACUCCCCAAAAGCAAAACAAUCCAAGCAACCCAGCAGCUAAACUCAGGGCAAUAUCAAAAUUAUCAAAGCAAAUGAAGGACUCGUUAUAAAAGGAAUCCUCCAGCAGUAAUUGUAAUCUCUGUGUUAGCUUUCAGCAUCCCCUUUCUGUUCUGAAGAGCACCUUUGAAUGUUUCUGUUUGCGCUAACUUUAUUGCUCCAUUAUGGUUGCCAUUAAGUGUUGUUGUAUUUGCCUACAGAAGCUGAGCAGCAGGAAGGGAGUUGCUGUUGAGGAAGGCAGACCCCGGUGACUACAAUUGCUUGAAAAACAGACUUACCAGCAGGAGGAAGAGGAGAAGGAAGAGGAGCACGAGCUGGAGGUGCACGAAGAGCUUGGGAGGGAAUAGGAAUACAAAUAUACUCCGGUCAGAGACAGCAAAAUUACUUCAGAAGAGAAGCUGUGCAGCAUGAAGGUGGAUGCUGUCUCUGAACCCAUAUCCAAGUGAGUAUAAUUUCUUGAAAAGCAGACUUACCAUCAGGAGGAGGACCACGAGGCGUACUGGCUCCUUGGGGUUGAAAGGGAAAGGCAGAAGGCCCUGUUCAGAGGAAGGAAAUUUACUUCAGAGCAGGUACAUUUUUAAAAGCAAGGAAAUACAAGAAACUGAAAUGGUUAUGGUUGGAAGGAAAAGCUAUUACAAAAAUGUGAAUGGUUUAUAAGAGAAAGAAAGGAAGAACCCUUUGGUUCUUAAAAAAAAAGAAAGAAAAAACCCCCCCGCUAUUCAAAAAAAACCAAACCCCCACCCACUCACCAUGACCACACCCCAAAAGCAAAACAAUCCAAGCAACCCAGCAGCUAAACUCAGGGCAAUAUCAAAAUUAUCAAAGCAAAUGAAGGACUCGUUAUAAAAGGAAUCCUCCAGCAGUAAUUUUAAUCUCUGUGUUAGCUUUCAGCAUCCCCUUUCUGUUCUGAAGAGCACCUUCGAAUGUUUCUGUUUGCGCUAACUUUAUUGCUCCAUUAUGGUUGCCAUUAAGUGUUGUUGUAUUUGCCUACAGAAGCUGAGCAGCAGGAAGGGAGUUACUGUUGAGGAAGGCAGACCCCGGUGACUACAAUUGCUUGAAAAACAGACUUACCAGCAGGAGGAAGAGGAGAAGGAAGAGGAGCACGAGCUGGAGGUGCACGAAGAGCUUGGGAAGGAAUAGGAAUACAAAUAUACUCCGGUCAGAGACAACAAAAUUACUUCAGAAGAGAAGCUGUGCAGCAUGAAGGUGGAUGCUGUCUCUGAACCCAUAUCCAAGUGAGUAUAAUUUCUUGAAAAGCAGACUUACCAUCAGGAGGAGGACCACGAGGCGUACUGGCUCCUUGGGGUUGAAAGAGAAAGGCAGAAGGCCCUGUUCAGAGGAAGGAAAUUUACUUCAGAGCAGGUACAUUUUUAAAAGCAAGGAAAUACAAGAAACUGAAAUGGUUAUGGUUGGAAGGAAAAGCUAUUACAAAAAUGUGAAUGGUUUAUAAGAGAAAGAAAGGAAGAACCCUUUGGUUCUUAAAAAAAAAGAAAGAAAAAAACCCCCCCGCUAUUCAAAAAAAACCAAACCCCCACCCACUCACCAUGACCACUCCCCAAAAGCAAAACAAUCCAAGCAAGCCAGCAGCUAAACUCAGGGCAAUAUCAAAAUUAUCAAAGCAAAUGAAGGACUCGUUAUAAAAGGAAUCCUCCAGCAGUAAUUGUAAUCUCUGUGUUAGCUUUCAGCAUCCCCUUUCUGUUCUGAAGAGCACCUUCGAAUGUUUCUGUUUGCGCUAACUUUAUUGCUCCAUUAUGGUUGCCAUUAAGUCUUGUUGUAUUUGCCUACAGAAGCUGAGCAGCAGGAAGGGAGUUGCUGUUGAGGAAGGCAGACCCCGGUGACUACAAUUGCUUGAAAAACAGACUUACCAGCAGGAGGAAGAGGAGAAGGAAGAGGAGCACGAGCUGGAGGUGCACGAAGAGCUUGGGAGGGAAUAGGAAUACAAAUAUACUCCGGUCAGAGACAGCAAAAUUACUUCAGAAGAGAAGCUGUGCAGCAUGAAGGUGGAUGCUGUCUCUGAACCCAUAUCCAAGUGAGUAUAAUUUCUUGAAAAGCAGACUUACCAUCAGGAGGAGGACCACGAGGCGUACUGGCUCCUUGGGGUUGAAAGGGAAAGGCAGAAGGCCCUGUUCAGAGGAAGGAAAUUUACUUCAGAGCAGGUACAUUUUUAAAAGCAAGGAAAUACAAGAAACUGAAAUGGUUAUGGUUGGAAGGAAAAGCUAUUACAAAAAUGUGAAUGGUUUAUAAGAGAAAGAAAGGAAGAACCCUUUGGUUCUUAAAAAAAAAGAAAGAAAAAACCCCCCCGCUAUUCAAAAAAAACCAAACCCCCACCCACUCACCAUGACCACACCCCAAAAGCAAAACAAUCCAAGCAACCCAGCAGCUAAACUCAGGGCAAUAUCAAAAUUAUCAAAGCAAAUGAAGGACUCGUUAUAAAAGGAAUCCUCCAGCAGUAAUUUUAAUCUCUGUGUUAGCUUUCAGCAUCCCCUUUCUGUUCUGAAGAGCACCUUCGAAUGUUUCUGUUUGCGCUAACUUUAUUGCUCCAUUAUGGUUGCCAUUAAGUGUUGUUGUAUUUGCCUACAGAAGCUGAGCAGCAGGAAGGGAGUUACUGUUGAGGAAGGCAGACCCCGGUGACUACAAUUGCUUGAAAAACAGACUUACCAGCAGGAGGAAGAGGAGAAGGAAGAGGAGCACGAGCUGGAGGUGCACGAAGAGCUUGGGAAGGAAUAGGAAUACAAAUAUACUCCGGUCAGAGACAACAAAAUUACUUCAGAAGAGAAGCUGUGCAGCAUGAAGGUGGAUGCUGUCUCUGAACCCAUAUCCAAGUGAGUAUAAUUUCUUGAAAAGCAGACUUACCAUCAGGAGGAGGACCACGAGGCGUACUGGCUCCUUGGGGUUGAAAGAGAAAGGCAGAAGGCCCUGUUCAGAGGAAGGAAAUUUACUUCAGAGCAGGUACAUUUUUAAAAGCAAGGAAAUACAAGAAACUGAAAUGGUUAUGGUUGGAAGGAAAAGCUAUUACAAAAAUGUGAAUGGUUUAUAAGAGAAAGAAAGGAAGAACCCUUUGGUUCUUAAAAAAAAAGAAAGAAAAAAACCCCCCCGCUAUUCAAAAAAAACCAAACCCCCACCCACUCACCAUGACCACUCCCCAAAAGCAAAACAAUCCAAGCAAGCCAGCAGCUAAACUCAGGGCAAUAUCAAAAUUAUCAAAGCAAAUGAAGGACUCGUUAUAAAAGGAAUCCUCCAGCAGUAAUUGUAAUCUCUGUGUUAGCUUUCAGCAUCCCCUUUCUGUUCUGAAGAGCACCUUCGAAUGUUUCUGUUUGCGCUAACUUUAUUGCUCCAUUAUGGUUGCCAUUAAGUCUUGUUGUAUUUGCCUACAGAAGCUGAGCAGCAGGAAGGGAGUUGCUGUUGAGGAAGGCAGACCCCGGUGACUACAAUUGCUUGAAAAACAGACUUACCAGCAGGAGGAAGAGGAGAAGGAAGAGGAGCACGAGCUGGAGGUGCACGAAGAGCUUGGGAGGGAAUAGGAAUACAAAUAUACUCCGGUCAGAGACAGCAAAAUUACUUCAGAAGAGAAGCUGUGCAGCAUGAAGGUGGAUGCUGUCUCUGAACCCAUAUCCAAGUGAGUAUAAUUUCUUGAAAAGCAGACUUACCAUCAGGAGGAGGACCACGAGGCGUACUGGCUCCUUGGGGUUGAAAGAGAAAGGCAGAAGGCCCUGUUCAGAGGAAGGAAAUUUACUUCAGAGCAGGUACAUUUUUAAAAGCAAGGAAAUACAAGAAACUGAAAUGGUUAUGGUUGGAAGGAAAAGCUAUUACAAAAAUGUGAAUGGUUUAUAAGAGAAAGAAAGGAAGAACCCUUUGGUUCUUAAAAAAAAAGAAAGAAAAAAACCCCCCCGCUAUUCAAAAAAAAACAAACCCCCACCCACUCACCACGACCACUCCCCAAAAGCAAAACAAUCCAAGCAACCCAGCAGCUAAACUCAGGGCAAUAUCAAAAUUAUCAAAGCAAAUGAAGGACUCGUUAUAAAAGGAAUCCUCCAGCAGUAAUUUUAAUCUCUGUGUUAGCUUUCAGCAUCCCCUUUCUGUUCUGAAGAGCACCUUCGAAUGUUUCUGUUUGCGCUAACUUUAUUGCUCCAUUAUGGUUCCCAUUAAGUGUUGUUGUAUUUGCCUACAGAAGCUGAGCAGCAGGAAGGGAGUUGCUGUUGAGGAAGGCAGACCCCGGUGACUACAAUUGCUUGAAAAACAGACUUACCAGCAGGAGGAAGAGGAGAAGGAAGAGGAGCACGAGCUGGAGGUGCACGAAGAGCUUGGGAGGGAAUAGGAAUACAAAUAUACUCCGGUCAGAGACAGCAAAAUUACUUCAGAAGAGAAGCUGUGCAGCAUGAAGGUGGAUGCUGUCUCUGAACCCAUAUCCAAGUGAGUAUAAUUUCUUGAAAAGCAGACUUACCAUCAGGAGGAGGACCACGAGGCGUACUGGCUCCUUGGGGUUGAAAGAGAAAGGCAGAAGGCCCUGUUCAGAGGAAGGAAAUUUACUUCAGAGCAGGUACAUUUUUAAAAGCAAGGAAAUACAGGAAACUGAAAUGGUUAUGGUUGGAAGGAAAAGCUAUUACAAAAAUGUGAAUGGUUUAUAAGAGAAAGAAAGGAAGAACCCUUUGGUUCUUAAAAAAAAAAGAAAGAAAAAAACCCCCCGCUAUUCAAAAAAAACCAAACCCCCACCCACUCACCACGACCACUCCCCAAAAGCAAAACAAUCCAAGCAACCCAGCAGCUAAACUCAGGGCAAUAUCAAAAUUAUCAAAGCAAAUGAAGGACUCGUUAUAAAAGGAAUCCUCCAGCAGUAAUUUUAAUCUCUGUGUUAGCUUUCAGCAUCCCCUUUCUGUUCUGAAGAGCACCUUCGAAUGUUUCUGUUUGCGCUAACUUUAUUGCUCCAUUAUGGUUCCCAUUAAGUGUUGUUGUAUUUGCCUACAGAAGCUGAGCAGCAGGAAGGGAGUUGCUGUUGAGGAAGGCAGACCCCGGUGACUACAAUUGCUUGAAAAACAGACUUACCAGCAGGAGGAAGAGGAGAAGGAAGAGGAGCACGAGCUGGAGGUGCACGAAGAGCUUGGGAGGGAAUAGGAAUACAAAUAUACUCCGGUCAGAGACAGCAAAAUUACUUCAGAAGAGGUAAAUGUUUAAAAGCAAGGAAAUGCACAGAACUGAAAUGUUGCAAGACAUGGCGGUUUCUAAAUGUUGGCAGUAGUGUUAUUGCUCCGUUGUGUUUACAAUGAAGACUGGUUGUAUUUGUCUGCAGAAGCUGUGCAGCAUGAAGGGUGAUGCUGGCUCUGAAGCCACAUCCAAAUGACUAUAAUUUCUUGACAAGCAGACUUACCAUCACCAGCAGGAAUAGGACCACGAGGUGAAAUGGGUCCUUGGGGAUGCCGGAAGGAAUCUGUUGAGAGACAGUAAAUUAACUUCAGAGAUGGUAAAUUUUAAAUACCAAGGAGACGCAUGAAAAGGAAAUGGUUAUGGUUGGAAGGAAAGGCAAUGUUGGUUCGAGAGAGAGGAAAGGUUCUGUAGGAUGACCCACCGGCGGAUAGGUCGCUUCCAGACACAGUGUAGGUUCUGUUGGGUGACAUGCUGAAGUAGCCUGAGUCACUUCCAGAGGAAGGAUAGCUUAUGCUGGAUGGCAUACUGGAGCCUGAGUCACUUCCAGACACAGUAUAGGUUCUGUUGGGUGACAUGCUGAAAUAGCCUGAGUCACUUCCAGAGGAAGAAUAGCUUAUGCUGGAUGGCAUACUGGAGCCUGAGUCAGACACAGUAUAGGUUCUGUUGGGUGACAUACUGGAGUAGCCUGAGACACUU
Long non-coding RNA from Passer domesticus (house sparrow), 6111 nucleotides. RefSeq lists it as uncharacterized. The transcript has 7 exons. The record is from RefSeq and is a predicted model, not a curated record. Lineage: Eukaryota; Metazoa; Chordata; Aves; Passeriformes; Passeridae.